AGUUUCUUCGCUGGUAAGAACGGACGAACGAGCCACGCCCACAGCCUUCAACCAGAAUCCGUCGCAGGACCCGACUCGCAGCCCUAAUUACUUUUCGCUCUCAUUUUUUUCGAUAUUUCAAUAAAUACCAAUCGCCAUGGACUCGCAAUCUGGUUCAUGAAGCUUUGUGGAAUAGCUCUGGAUUCAUAUUCGAUCCGACGGCAAGUUAGUAAUUAGGGUUUUCAAUUGAAGCAUUGUUUUGAGGGGUGGAAUUU
RNAcentral lists this unclassified non-coding RNA (254 nucleotides) under Hevea brasiliensis (rubber tree). Lineage: Eukaryota; Viridiplantae; Streptophyta; Magnoliopsida; Malpighiales; Euphorbiaceae. The record is from RNAcentral.